This 246-nucleotide ribosomal RNA is filed under the name uncultured bacterium. Its description in RNAcentral is "partial 16S ribosomal RNA". It matches the Rfam family "Bacterial small subunit ribosomal RNA", at positions 524 to 769 of the family's 1533-position model. The record is from RNAcentral.
UACGUAGGGUGCGAGCGUUAAUCGGAAUUACUGGGCGUAAAGCGUGCGCAGGCGGUUCGUGAUGUCUGAUGUGAAAUCCCCGGGCUCAACCUGGGAAUGGCAUUUGGGACUGCAAGGCUGGAGUGCGGCAGAGGAGACUGGAAUUCCUGGUGUAGCAGUGAAAUGCGUAGAUAUCAGGAGGAAUACCGAUGGCGAAGGCAGGUCUCUGGGCUGACACUGACGCUCAUGCACGAAAGCGUGGGGAGC